CAAAGAAGAUAUAGAAAAUAAUAUUAGUUUAGAAGAGGGUAAUCUACAACUUUUAAUAUCCUUAUGUCUUAUUAAGAAAAAAAAAAUAAUCCACUCUUAAUCAAAAAAAGAUAAAGCUCUAAUAUUAUAAGUAUACUCUUAUCAAUCAAUCAAGGACAUGAAUUGAAAGAACAUAUAUAAAUUUGAGAAAUCUAUGUAAAAAGUGUUAAAAUAA
This 214-nucleotide long non-coding RNA is filed under the name Physcomitrium patens. RNAcentral describes it as "long non-coding RNA (PPAT_LNC007031)". Lineage: Eukaryota; Viridiplantae; Streptophyta; Bryopsida; Funariales; Funariaceae. The record is from RNAcentral.